This is a long non-coding RNA of Cyprinus carpio carpio, 2118 nucleotides long. The record is from Ensembl. Lineage: Eukaryota; Metazoa; Chordata; Actinopteri; Cypriniformes; Cyprinidae.
UUAACAAAAAUAAAUGCACCAUUCUUAAACUUAUUCCUUUUUUUCUCUUUUUUUUUAAAGGAAUAAUUAAACAGUGUCUGAAGAUUGUUUUGCAGACAGGCUAAUGGCUGAUGAAACUCUGAUAACACUCAGUCCAUGUGCAGGGCCGUCUCGUUCUUUGAUGGAGGCUGCGGAUAUGGAGCUGGAGCCCGUGGUUUCGGUCACCCCUACCGACAGCCCCGACUGCGACCAUCAGAGACCGACCGUUGUCAGGAACCGUGGGGUGUCAGGGCUCACCCGCCUGGCCUGUUAUCCCCCGCACCCGUCCCCUCCUGGACAUCUCUCUGCCCUCGCCCAACACCCUCUCGCCCGCUUUUGAUCAGCCCUGACUCCGGCUGCUCCAGCGAAGCGGCAUGGGUGAUGUGUUGCUGUGGAGGGGGUGGGAUGGACUACAUUUGGUCAUUUGGACUUCAAGGCCGGACUUACCUCUGAUUCUACGUUUUAAUUAGAGGCUGGCAUAAUAAUUGUUUGCUCAAGACUGUAAAAGAGCCCGUUGAGAGGUGGGCCAGAGCUGGCCGUGUGGGUCCUGCUUAAAAUGCCCUGCGUAUAGAGGUGGUAGCAGUCAGGGAGGUCUCUAACUGCUUUAUAUUUAUUAAAAUUCAGAAUAAUCUAAGCAAUAAGAGAUAAUAUACAGCCAGAUGGUCAUUAUUGCGAGAUAAACCCCACCAGGGUGAUCAGGAUCCAAACCUGAAGGAGAUUUCGCCAUAUUGACUGACUGGUGGACUGUACAUUUUCUGGAUUAUUAUGCUACUGUUUAGCAAAAAAAUAAAUAAAUGGACAUGAAAUAUUGAUUUCAGUUGAAAUUCUUUUGUUACGUGAGAAGAGAGAAACGACUGUUUUCAAGCAGGUUUCUCAAACACUCUCCUAUUGUUUAUGAUGAAAAUCACAUACUGUACUUGUGUGCGUGUGAUUCCGCUUCUCUUUAAACUUGUUUUUCUCAUUCAGUAAGAAUUUGUAUUGCUUUGUCGCAACCAAAAGAGCAUAAUAUAGAACCAAAAUCGUAUUUGUGUCUCUCACGACCCUGGAGAAAGUGUUGGAUGGUUCAGAGGAGGUCAGGCUAAUAUCUGUGCGCCGUAAUGAAAUAUUGAUAAUCAAUGAUGUGGCUGACAAAUGGAAGGUUACCGGGACGACCGCGCAAUGACACCAGCACCUUGGCCUGGUGAAGACGAGCUCUGUUUAAUCUGGAUACAGCCAAUGAAAAUGGUGUGAAAUGCUCUUAAAGGUGGCCCCCUUAAUGUGGGAUUAUCCCAUCACAGGAGUGACAGAGAUUAGAAUUAAUUCCAUUACAGACAUAAUCCUAACAGCUCUGCUUUCCGAGAGAGAGAGAAAGAGAGAGAGAGAGAGGGGGAGAUUUGGAUAGACGCAUGUAUUUGUACAGAUUUGGAAUAGGUCAAGGAUCGUAACUCACCAGAAGCCCGGACAGGGGCCGUUUGACCCUGCAUUGAAAGCGCAGCGAUGACCCAGGCCUCAUGAAAGACCGGAGCGGAGCGCAGACGCUGCUCGAGCCGCUGAAGGUGAUUGAAGAUGAGUGUGACACAGAUAAGGAGUUAAACGCUCGGCGUGUGUGAGUGUGUCCUCAGUAAUAGUCCUGAUAAGUGGAUGUGUACUGUGUCGGCUCUCCAGGGAGUAAACUCACUCAGAUAUACAUCCAUUAAAGAAACACAGCAGCGAGAGGAGGCCGAGGCUAUUGCUGCAAACUGGAGUUCCAUAAACAACCUGACGUGUUUUAGCACUGGUAAUGGAUAGAUCAACCUAUCUAUCUAUGAUGUAAUUAUUCAAAUAAUAUUGUAGUCACACUGUCUAUUAAUUUGAACAAUCUUUAGAUGGUGUUCAACUACCAUUGAAAUAAAAAUACAAUUAAAAAAUUUAAUUAAUUUAAUAUAUGGUACUAAGUCCCAAGUAUGUAUUUAUGUAUGUAUUUAUUUUUAUUUUUAUUCAUUUAUUUUUAUUUAUUUUUAUUUUAAACAAAUAGCAAUUUGGCAACUCCUGCUUGAUAAAAUAUUUUAAUUAUAUUUUUAAUAUUUUACUGCUUGAAAUAAUUAGAAAAAAUCAUAUUCAUUAUAGACAUUUCCAUUACUU